RNA transcript from Musa acuminata AAA Group (dessert banana), 2020 nucleotides. RefSeq lists it as uncharacterized. NCBI's taxonomy places the organism in Eukaryota, Viridiplantae, Streptophyta, Magnoliopsida, Zingiberales, Musaceae. The transcript is spliced from 5 exons. The record is from RefSeq and is a predicted model, not a curated record.
CCUUCCCAUCUACGUUUAUUAAUACACACAAAUGGAGAAAAAGGAAAAUCCAGAAUUCCUAGAUGCAUUGCUCUACCUUUAACAUGUUUAAAGUCUAUAUUAGUGUACUUUGUGAGUUUCUUUUUCAGGUUAUCCCUGCUGCUGCACAUGCCCUUGCCAAAAUCCAUAUGCAUCUUGUAUUCAGUGUGUUAGGACAACAGAUUUUUGAUUUUUCUUCCCUUUCAGGUUUUGUUACUCUGAAGAAGACGUACUGGAGUUUGGCACUGAUAGUUCUUCUGUUGGAUAUCUCUCUAUGAAAAUGAUUUUUGAUUUUUCUUAUCUAUUUGUUUAUGUGAAAAUGGGUUCCUUCAAAUAAUUUGUUCUAGAUAAGAUGAUAAAUGUGACUGAAAAUUAUCUAUCCAUAAUUAUUGAUUGUUAAAAGAACUAAAUCUUUACCUGUUUUUGUUUGGAAACAAGUCACUAAAAAUCAUUACUUAUUGAUAUACCUGAAACUAGGUUAUUACUAGGGGAGUAUUUUGUGCAUUGAAGGUAUUUGAUUGAAUAUUUCUUUUACUUCUUGAUUUUUUAGUUGUCAGUCACUAUAAUUUACUAUGUGUUGCCUUUUAUUUGAAUCAGCCAUGCAGGGCUAGGUCAAAUCAGUUGUUAGGUCUUUUAGAUUCACCUUAUUGUGUAAUUUUUUUUGCAUCUCUUAAUGAGAAACCAAUGCCCUUAAAGAUUUUGCGUGUUUAAAGUUUGUUUUUUGUUGACUUAACAAAUAUGUAUUGAUAUUUGGAGGAAAUACUUUGUAUCGUCUAAACAGUUGUAUCAUCUAUGUUACAUGGAGUCUUAUUAAACCUUUAAACAUGGACAUCUGAUUUAUGUAAACUGCUUCCAUAGCCUUAACCUCUGUCUCCAAUUUACUUCUUGGGAUACCGUUAUACUCUUGUGCUGAAUAUGAUUAAAAUGAGCAUUAUAGAACUGUGUUAUCUCAUUUCUGUAGUCAGUAUAUUCUGUAAUGGUAAGUUCUGUCCUAUGUUGCGUAGAAAAAAAAAUAACGUGUUAUAGUCUGGAUGGUUUUAGGCAUCUUCAAUCAGUUAGAUCCACUUCAACUUGACAUUACCCAAUUCCUCUUCAACAUCCAGUUUUGAUGAAGGUUGCACUGUCCUUUGGUGUAUUUGUUUUAAGGAUUUUACUUUGUUGUCUUCGUAUAUGAUUUCUAUAGCUGUAUUUUAUUGCAUUGGAGGUAUAAGAUUUUCCAGUUCCAUAAAUUAUGUCAGUAACAUCAAUUUAUAUAUUGGGAAAAUGUGGCACAUAGCACUUUCUUAACUAUAAUCAGUUUGCAUGUUUCAGUUAUGUGAUCUUUUUCUUUAGUUUUGAUAGAUGUUUAUGCUUUAUCAUCUGUCAUUUUAAGAGUAAUGUCUAUCCUUCAAAUUUUUGUUUCAAUGACAACAAUGAUUUUGAUUCUUCAGAUGAUGGUGAAAAUAUUGAAGGAUUGCCCAGUGAAGGUGUUGAGAUAACUUGCUUCAAUUUGGUGAGAUAACUAGAUGGUGCACAUUACAUGAUCUACACACCAUCUGAUCCACUUCUCUUUGUUGCUGUCAAGGGUGAAAAUGGUGUUCUCCAAAUUGCUGACGAUGCAAAUGAUUCAUCUCUAUGAAAUGGGUUUUGAAUUCAGUAUUCAUUUAUUGCUUAUGGUUAUUCUGCAUGCCUUUGAUAUAUUAAUCACUGUUUCUUGAUUUAAUUUUUCUGGAUGUUGUGGCCCCUGGUUUAUUUCAGGUUAGUUUGUUUGCUUCCUACUUUCAGAUAUUGCCUGUUAGAUUGUAUUGAGUUCUUGGAUAUUUUAGCCUUUUAUGUUUGUAGAUCAGAUGCUGAUUUUUUUUUGCCCCUCGUAGACCAAGUUUCUUCUCGGGAUCCCAGUUUGAGCUACAUGAUCUGCCGGAGGACCCUGUUACCGUUGCUGCCAUAGAUGAGGAGACAGAAUUUAAUGCUCUUGUGGAAGAGGAGGCUGCACUUCUUGAAUCAUUGUUGGGAGAAAGAUGAC